AUCGCGAGAUCAGGAAGGUGGCCGAGUGUGUCGCCGCGGCCAUCAGGCACUUCUCCUUCCUGCCCUUGUAUGAAGAAGGAUGUGUUUGCUUCCCCUUGUGCCAUGAUUGUAAAUUUCCUGAGGCCUCCUCAGCCCUGCAGAACUGGCUAGAGCAAUGUAUCUUAGGCUCACUUAAGGAAGCUGUAGAGAUGAGCCCAAGGAGGGAAACCAGAAGAGCCCCCCAGGCUCACCAGUUGUUUGUUGGCUCCCUACAAACAUGUCAUUCAAGUGGCUAAUCUUACAACAGCACAAAUUCAUCUAACCAGAAAGAGAAGAGGAGGCUCCAAAGGCACUUGACUACUGAGCAUCACCCUGGACGUGUACAAGUCUGCGUCCUUAUUGUUUUCUUCAUUGGGCCGAACUUUCUGGUCCUCAUCCAACAGCUCUUCUAUCACGUGUUCGAAAGUGUCAGCCAAUGAUGUCAAGCCUCUUGAACCUGCCUUGGGCCCAUUCACGCUCUCCAGAGUCCCAUGGGUCCGCACACCUGGAGAUACUCUAUUAUAGCAAAGAAGAAAGAUAAUUUCAUUGAGCCAUCCUGUUUUACAGGAUUUUCCCUCCUGGUGAGUCAAAAUGAACAAGAAAUACCCCAGGACCUCCCUUCCCUCCUUGGCCAUUAAUGAGAUGAAGGCAAUUAACUCACAUAGUAUAAAUGAAUCAUUUGAGGUGAUGACUGCAUUUUAGGCAAAUGAUGACUUUCUUGGUUCCAUUGGUUUGCAAGUAAAAGUUACACACAUUGAAAAGACACUGAAACAGAUUUCCUAAAUGCUUCAUUUUCUGGAUGCACCAAUGUUGACCUACUAUACAUGUUAAAUGGUUUUAAAAUAUCACCUUAAAAUAAAGGAAACUUCCAGCUACUAACUCAGCUCUGAAUGGGCUAUGAAAGGCUCCAAAGGUAUGUGAAAAAUUACUGUUAUUUUGCUUUAAAAAAUGUGAUGUCUAAGAGUGUCUGCAAUGUUCUAAUGCUUCAAAACAUGUACGUAAGCCUUGUUUAUCUGGAAAUCAUUUCUUUCUGCUUAUAUCAUUUAUAAAUAGAAAAUGUUCUGUAAUAACUUAAAAUAGUUCCACAUACAUAAUGCUUUUAGUGUCAUAAUACUUACUACUGGUCUAUAUUUACCAACAUUUAUCACAUUUUACAAAAUGAAGUAGAAGAAAAAAAAGACAACGACUUUAUGGCCCUGGAAUUCCAGUAAUGGUGACCAACAUGUUUUAAAUUCCAGUAAAGGUUAUGGUUACAUUUCAA
Molecule: long non-coding RNA, 1279 nt
Filed under: Homo sapiens (human)
Lineage: Eukaryota; Metazoa; Chordata; Mammalia; Primates; Hominidae
Description: HSALNT0173356
Source: RNAcentral